Molecule: long non-coding RNA, 954 nt
Filed under: Equus caballus (horse)
Lineage: Eukaryota; Metazoa; Chordata; Mammalia; Perissodactyla; Equidae
Description: lncRNA (ENSECAG00000057761.1)
Source: RNAcentral
GUGUUUUUAAUCUUCCUCACUCCUUCCCUCCCCAGAUGACCUUGAAAAAACCUUCAGUUCCAGUUUUCUCAUUUAUCAGAUGAGGAUGGUUGUACUUGUAAGGAUUACUUGAGAUGAUACGUGGGAAAGUGCUAAGUGCAAUAUGGAACAUUGUUAUAAAAAUGUGAAAAAACUGAAGGAGAGUGACUUAUUCUAAGUCACACCCUUAGGAUCUGGCAGAAAGAAAAAUGAACUGAGGCUUUCUGGAUCCUUCCUACUUUCUACCUCUGGCUGCUGCCUCUCUUGGCCACUCUAGAGCAUCGUGUGAUGCUGUGGUAUGACAACAACAAAUCAAUGUUGUCUCUUUUUUUUUUUUUAAAGAAGUGGUUCUUUUUAUUUAUUUAUUUAUUUUUUUCCUUUUUCUCCCCAAAGCCCCCCGGUACAUAGUUGUAUAUUCUUAGUUGUGGAUCCUUCUAGUUGUGGCAUGUGGGACGCUGCCUCAGCGUGGUUUGAUGAGCAGUGCCAUGUCCGUGCCCAGGAUUCGAACCAACGAAACACUAGGCCGCCUGCAGCGGAGCACUCGAACUUAACCACUCGGCCACGGGGCCAGCCCCUCAAUGUUGUCUCUUGGAUGUGAAGGUGAUGGUAUGGCUCCCAUGAAAGGCGGGUGUGAAUCCAUUCAUCUCAUCGUCCCUCACGUGACAAUGGUGGACAUUUCCAAGCUGUUUGGGAUUCAUGAGUAAUGAAGCCUUGAAAUGAAGUAAAACAAACUGGUCCUUCUGGCAAUGAAGUCUUUUUUUCGUCUUAUGAUCUACUUUAGAGAUCAUUUUUUAAAAUUGAGUUCAUAAUAGCUUACAUCAUUGUGAAAUUUCAGUUGUACAUUAUUUCUUAUCUGUCACCACAUAAGUGCUCCCCUUCACCCUUGAGCCCAUUCCCCACCUCCCUUCCCCUGGUAACCAGUAAACUGUUUUCUUU